UAUGGCGACCGGCGCACGGGUGAGUAACGCGUAUGCAACUUACCUAUCAGAGGGGGAUAGCCCGGCGAAAGUCGGAUUAAUACCCCAUAAAACAGGGGUCCCGCAUGGAAAUAUUUGUUAAAGAUUCAUCGCUGAUAGAUAGGCAUGCGUUCCAUUAGGCAGUUGGCGGGGUAACGGCCCACCAAACCGACGAUGGAUAGGGGUUCUGAGAGGAAGGUCCCCCACAUUGGAACUGAGACACGGUCCAA
RNAcentral lists this ribosomal RNA (248 nucleotides) under uncultured bacterium. RNAcentral's name for it is "partial 16S ribosomal RNA". It matches the Rfam family "Bacterial small subunit ribosomal RNA", at positions 87 to 334 of the family's 1533-position model. The record is from RNAcentral.